This 489-nucleotide ribosomal RNA is filed under the name uncultured organism. RNAcentral describes it as "bacterial SSU rRNA". It matches the Rfam family "Bacterial small subunit ribosomal RNA", at positions 28 to 507 of the family's 1533-position model. The record is from RNAcentral.
GAUGAACGCUAGCUACAGGCUUAACACAUGCAAGUCGAGGGGCAGCAUCAUCAAAGCUUGCUUUGAUGGAUGGCGACCGGCGCACGGGUGAGUAACACGUAUCCAACCUGCCGACAACACUGGGAUAGCCUUUCGAAAGAAAGAUUAAUACCGGAUGGCAUAGUUUUCCCGCAUGGGAUAAUUAUUAAAGAAUUUCGGUUGUCGAUGGGGAUGCGUUCCAUUAGGCAGUUGGCGGGGUAACGGCCCACCAAACCAACGAUGGAUAGGGGUUCUGAGAGGAAGGUCCCCCACAUUGGAACUGAGACACGGUCCAAACUCCUACGGGAGGCAGCAGUGAGGAAUAUUGGUCAAUGGACGAGAGUCUGAACCAGCCAAGUAGCGUGAAGGAUGACUGCCCUAUGGGUUGUAAACUUCUUUUAUACGGGAAUAAAGUUAGCCACGUGUGGCUUUUUGUAUGUACCGUAUGAAUAAGGAUCGGCUAACUCCGUG